GGGACGAACGCUGGCGGCGUGCCUAACACAUGCAAGUCGAACGAGAUCCAUCCAGUGGCAACACUGGUGAAGAUCUAGUGGCGAACGGGUGAGUAACACGUGAGGAACCUGCCCCGAAGACCGGGAUAACUCUCCGAAAGGAGAGCUAAUACCGGAUACCUCCAUCUGAUCGCAUGGUCGGAUGAAGAAAUGGAUUCCGCUUCGGGAGGGCCUCGCGGCCUAUCAGCUAGUUGGUGAGGUAACGGCUCACCAAGGCGUCGACGGGUAGCUGGUCUGAGAGGACGAUCAGCCACACUGGAACUGAGACACGGUCCAGACUCCUACGGGAGGCAGCAGUGGGGAAUCUUGCGCAAUGGGCGAAAGCCUGACGCAGCAACGCCGCGUGGGGGAUGAAGGCUCUCGGGUUGUAAACCCCUUUCAGUAGGGACGAAAUCAGACGGUACCUACAGAAGAAGCCCCGGCCAACUACGUGCCAGCAGCCGC
This 483-nucleotide ribosomal RNA is filed under the name uncultured bacterium. RNAcentral's name for it is "SSU rRNA". It matches the Rfam family "Bacterial small subunit ribosomal RNA", at positions 27 to 518 of the family's 1533-position model. The record is from RNAcentral.